Molecule: ribosomal RNA, 327 nt
Filed under: uncultured eukaryote
Lineage: Eukaryota
Description: partial 18S ribosomal RNA
Rfam family: Eukaryotic small subunit ribosomal RNA
Source: RNAcentral
CCCUUAGACGUUCUGGGCCGCACGCGCGCUACACUGACGAAUGCAACGUGCUUAUAACCUUGGCCGAAAGGUCUGGGUAAUCUCCAAAUUUCGUCGUGAUGGGGAUAGAUUAUUGCAAUUAUUAAUCUUCAACGAGGAAUGCCUAGUAAGCGCAAGUCACCAGCUUGCGUUGAUUACGUCCCUGCCCUUUGUACACACCGCCCGUCGCUCCUACCGAUUGAAUGGUCCGGUGAAGCGCUCGGACCGCGGCCUCUUGACGGUUCGCUGUCGAUUGGCUGUGGGAAGUUCGUUAAACCUUAUCAUUUAGAGGAAGGAGAAGUCGUAACA